UUUUAGGGAAAAAGUUGUAAUAUUUGGGGGAAAAGUUGUAAUAUUUUAGGGAAAAGUUGCAAUAUUUCGGAAAAAAAUCGUAAUAUUUUGGAAAACAGUUGUAACAUUUUGGGGAAAAAAUCGUAAUAUUUUGGGAAUAAAGUUGUAAUAUUUCAGGAAUAA
Molecule: long non-coding RNA, 162 nt
Organism: Etheostoma spectabile (orangethroat darter)
Lineage: Eukaryota; Metazoa; Chordata; Actinopteri; Perciformes; Percidae
Exons: 3
Source: RefSeq, a predicted model, not a curated record